Molecule: non-coding RNA, 33 nt
Filed under: Prorocentrum micans
Lineage: Eukaryota; Dinophyceae; Prorocentrales; Prorocentraceae
Source: RNAcentral
AAACAAAAAAAAAAAAAAAAAAAAAAAAAAAAA